RNAcentral lists this long non-coding RNA (914 nucleotides) under Sorghum bicolor (sorghum). RNAcentral's name for it is "long non-coding RNA (SBIC_LNC013870)". Lineage: Eukaryota; Viridiplantae; Streptophyta; Magnoliopsida; Poales; Poaceae. The record is from RNAcentral.
CUAAUGGAGACUCUUCAUCGAUCAUUCAGUUGUCUGCUGCUGGUGGGAUGUGCGGCGGGUUAGGCUUUGGUUUGGGCUCCGGCUUGGGUUCAGGCUUUGGUUUUGGUUCAGGCUUAGGCUCCGGUUUGGGUUCUGGUUUCGGCUUGGGCUCGGGCUUUGGUUCAGGUUUAGGCUUAGGCUCAGGCUUAGGUAGUGGUUCGGGUUUUGGUUCCGGCUUCGGCUCAGGCUUAGGCUCGGGUUUUGGUUUGGGCUCGGGCUUAGGCUCUGGUUUGGGUAGUGGUUCUGGUUUUGGUUCUGGCUUGGGCUCGGGCUUAGGCUCUGGUUUGGGCAGUGGCUCUGGCUUUGGCUCUGGUUUUGGCAAUGGUUUGGGCUUUGGUUCCGGCUUGGGCUCAGGCUUAGGCUCUGGUUUUGGUAGUGGUUCAGGUUUUGGUUCCGGCUUGGGUUCAGGCUUAGGCUCGGGCUUUGGUUCCGGCUUGGGCUCAUGCUUAGGUUGCAGUGGUUCGGGUAUGGGUUCUGUGCUUGGGUUCAGGCUUAGUGCUCGGUGCUUUGGGUAUCGUGCUUGGGCUCAGGCUUAGGCUCCGGUAUCGGCAUCGGUUCGGGCUUUGGUUCUGGCUAGGGCUCAGGCUUAGGCUCAGGUUUUGGUUUUGGCAUGGGCUCAGGUUUUGGUUCAGGCUUAGGCUCCGGCUUAGGCUCAGGCUUAGGUUUUGGUUCUGGCUUGGGCUCCGGUUUUGGCAGUGGUUCAGGCUUGGGCUCAGGCUCGGGUUUUGGUUCAGGCUUAGGCUCAGGUUUUGGCUUUGGCUCAGGCUUUUUUGGCUUUGGCUUUGGUUCAGGCAUAGGCUUGGGCAUCGGUUCGGGUUUGGGCUUUGGCUCUGGCUUCGUUAUGGGUUUAGGUUGAGGCUCAGGUUUAGGUUCAG